ACGAACGCUGGCGGCGUGCUUAACACAUGCAAGUCGAACGGAAAGGCCCUGCUUUUGUGGGGUGCUCGAGUGGCGAACGGGUGAGUAACACGUGAGUAACCUGCCCUUGACUUUGGGAUAACUUCAGGAAACUGGGGCUAAUACCGGAUAGGAGCUUCUUCUGCCUGGUGGGUGUUGGAAAGUUUCGGCGGUUGGGGAUGGACUCGCGGCUUAUCAGCUUGUUGGUGGGGGAGUGGCUUACCAAGGCUUUGACGGGUAGCCGGCCUGAGAGGGUGACCGGCCACAUUGGGACUGAGAUACGGCCCAGACGCCUACGGGAGGCAGCAGGGGGGAAUAUUGCACAAUGGGCGGAAGCCUGAUGCAGCAACGCCGCGUGCGGGAUGACGGCCUUCGGGGUGUAAACCGCUUUCGCCUGUGACGAAGCGUGAGUGACGGUAAUGGGUAAAGAAGCACCGGCUAACUACGUG
This 467-nucleotide ribosomal RNA is filed under the name uncultured bacterium. Its description in RNAcentral is "partial 16S ribosomal RNA". It matches the Rfam family "Bacterial small subunit ribosomal RNA", at positions 29 to 507 of the family's 1533-position model. The record is from RNAcentral.